Molecule: non-coding RNA, 1529 nt
Organism: Zootermopsis nevadensis
Lineage: Eukaryota; Metazoa; Arthropoda; Insecta; Blattodea; Termopsidae
Source: RefSeq, a predicted model, not a curated record
CGUUCUUGUAAUGAGUAUUACGAACCUGAUGAACGGUUGAAGUCACAAUGUGGGAGGAUGGUCCUGUCUCAAGACGCUGUUAAGCCACGAUGGCAUGAUGGCAUUUAUGUGAUCAGUGAUCAAACAAACUCCUCAUGCUGCCUCCUAUCAGUGGUCACAUGAAUUAUUUGUUAUGAUGUCCAUAGCAGCACCGAUGACAUAAUUGUCUAUACUAAUAUCAGUAAUAUGAAUUAUUUAAGCUGCAAACUGUCAGUGGCUUGGCAGCCCAGCAUAAUGUAUUAGGUUAAUUUGUUGUUAUAGUCACAUCAGAAGAAAGUAUCUUCUGUGGAUGGAAGUGAAUUAGUGAGCUUUCUAAAAAUUAAGUAUAGUAUUUCUGUGGUGUAAUCCGUAACUGUAUCACUUUUGUGGAUUAAGACGAUAAAUAUGAGUGUGUGUGAAAAGAAUAGUUAUAGCAAAUGGAAGGAUCAAUUACUAUUCCUAUAUAUGAUUAAGGAGAUAAUGUUAAGCAGUGUGUGGUGUAGAGUACACCUUUGGAACCUUUGUGUCUUCCAAAGAGUAUUACUUUUCAAUUUUGGUGUUGCUUUAACAUAAAAAUGAGAAUGUGAAUUAUGUGAUGAAGUACAAUAUUAGUGUUGUUUUUGAUACCUUCACACACCAUAUUAUUCAUUUGAUAUCGCCACCAUUUCAUAAAACUUUAAUGUCAUAUCUUAUUUUAUUUUAUUGUUUUGUAUGCAUUUGAUUCUUGCUUUGCAAUUUUAAUCUAUUCCAUGGUAGGAUCAUUGGAAUUUAUCUGUUCAGUUGCAGAGAGACUAUUUUGAAGUGAGAAAAUUCCAGUAGUGUGUCAGGACUUAUAUUGCAUGUGUUAUUGGACCAGGACUUUUGAUAGGCCUUCAUAUAGUGUGGUCAGCUUUUUUGAUAGAUAAUAUCUGAGUUUCAUAACCUUUAGGUGUAUAAUUGAGAAGUGAUAAGUAAAUAUAAUGUAUAUUGAAAGUAGUAAUAAUUUCAUAUGAUGUGUAGGUGAUUGGUUGCGUAGUGUGGAUGGACGUGAAGUUACAUUCCAAACCAUCGACUCAGUUCUAACAAAUCUCAGCACUCCUGGUAGAGCUGAAGUUGCAGCGAGUUGCAGGUCGUGAUGUUACAGCACAGUUGUCAGUUGAAAGCCCACCCAAGGGAAUUCAGCAGUCAGAUUUGGUGAAACAGCUAUUAAGGGACCACUGGUGCUGGUGAACUGAGCUGUGUUCUACAGGAACUCCCAGUAGGAGUGUUAUACCUCACACAAGAAGGUCUUACUGAAGGAGGUCCUGAGAACCAGGGUGUUCUGUAUUGCUACCCAGCUCCUAUGCAGAGCAAUACGCUGUGUUCUGCACGAGAAGCCUUCAUUACAUUGCAGCAUCUUCUUCCUGAUGUGGCCCCAUCUCCGCCAGUGAGGUGAAUGUCCAUACUGCAGCAAUCAACUAUAUUGAAGUUCAGUACUCCCGCCGACUGUGAAGUGCGGUCAGUGAUAACGCUAGGCCGCACACGACUCGACG